AUAUAGUUGCCUGAUAAAAAGGAUUACCUUGAUAGGGUAAAUCAUGAAAUUUAACGUUUCAUUCAUUAUAUU
Molecule: transfer RNA, 72 nt
Filed under: Anopheles maculatus
Lineage: Eukaryota; Metazoa; Arthropoda; Insecta; Diptera; Culicidae
Description: tRNA-Ile
Source: RNAcentral